GUGCGACGGCGCAGGUCUGCACCAUGGCGGCCCGGCUUGUGAGCCGAUGCGGGGCUGUGCGUGCAGCUCCCCACAGCGGCCCGCUGGCGUCCUGCCGCAGGUGGUCCGGCGCCUCAACAGACACCGUGUAUGACGUGGUGGUGUCGGGUGGAGGCCUGGUGGGCGCUGCCAUGGCCUGUGCCUUGGGUAAGCCCCUCUCCAGGCUACUAGUGGCCGGAAACCGGGCCGCGGAGCACGAUGAGAGCCGUGAGAGCCCUAGCACGACUUGCCCAAAGACAAUUUCUCAGGAUAUGAUAUUCACUUUCAUGACAAGAAAAUCCUGUUGCUCGAAGCAGGUCCAAAGAAAGUACUGGAGAAAUUGUCAGAAACUUACAGCAACAGGGUCAGCUCCAUUUCCCCUGGCUCUGCAACGCUUCUCAGUAGUUUUGGUGCCUGGGACCAUAUCUGCAACAUGAGAUACAGAGCCUUUCGGCGAAUGCAGGUGCCCCUUUAUCUUUUCAAUUUUGUCAAGAUGUCUUGGUCUGUCUUGUGUUAAGAUAUUGGAGUCCACUUUCUCCAAGUGUUCUGUGAAUGUAGGAGGAAUCAGACAAGGUUCACAUUCAGUCCGAGGAAGUGGGGAGAAGCAUUCCCAGGAGAAUUUUCUUCUCAUUUUAUAUUUUCCUACCACAGAGGCUGACAAAUUGUGAUUUUCUGCUCUGUCACUUGGGAAAGCAAUAUUGUUUCUGAUUGGAGUGAUGUUUCCCUCUUGGUUUUAAUGCAGACUUUCCUUUUGUGUUUCCAGGUGUGGGACGCCUGCUCAGAGGCCCUGAUAAUGUUUGAUAAGGAUAAUUUAGAUGACAUGGGCUAUAUCGUGGAGAAUGAUGUCAUCAUGCAUGCUCUCACUAAGCAGUUGGAGGCUGUGUCUGGUGAGGCCCCCAUCUUCCAUCUUGCAUUCAUU
RNAcentral lists this small RNA (937 nucleotides) under Pan troglodytes (chimpanzee). RNAcentral's name for it is "retained intron". The record is from RNAcentral. Lineage: Eukaryota; Metazoa; Chordata; Mammalia; Primates; Hominidae.